Molecule: unclassified non-coding RNA, 296 nt
Filed under: Hevea brasiliensis (rubber tree)
Lineage: Eukaryota; Viridiplantae; Streptophyta; Magnoliopsida; Malpighiales; Euphorbiaceae
Source: RNAcentral
CAAGCUUCUUCACCCCAAGCCUCUUCAAUACAAGCUUCUCCCUUUUCAAGCUUCUUCCUUUUAAGUUUCUUAAGCCGAGAGAAUCCGAAAAAGGUCUUAAAGGAGUUUCACCCCGAGGUGAAGAAAGGAGUAAGAAGGUUGAUUCACUUCCCAUCCUACCCUACCUCUACCUCACCUACAAACCUACAAACCCUGUAACUUCCUUGUAGUAGAUCUUAGGAAGCACAUGUGCUGAGCAACCUUUGUAAGUAAUACCCGAAAUUACAUCUCCAAAACCUUUGUACAAAUCUUACAAA